Long non-coding RNA from Podarcis raffonei (Aeolian wall lizard), 1337 nucleotides. RefSeq lists it as uncharacterized. The transcript has 3 exons. Lineage: Eukaryota; Metazoa; Chordata; Lepidosauria; Squamata; Lacertidae. The record is from RefSeq and is a predicted model, not a curated record.
ACAGCAGCUAUGCAUGACUCAGGAAAAUUCACAGGGUGAAAAAUGAGGCCAGCACUUAGUCCUCAGGGGGCAGUCUGGCCCUGUGCAAAUAUUCUAAAUACACAGGGGAAAAUGUGUUUAAUCAUUACCUCUUUGUUUAACAAAACAGGAUGAAAACUUAAUCUUUGUAGUGUAAGGGAACUUCAAGUGAUGUGGGAGUGAACUCUGCCAUUUCCUGACAAUCCUUGUCCCAGAAUUGCUGAUAGUUCUUUUCUCUCUCUCAUGGUCAGUCUCAGAAAAUCAAGGAUCUUGCUAAUAUCAUUGAGGCAGCCUUCAAGAAGCAUUGCCCAGAAACGAGCAUAUAUGUGUAUUAUCUUUCAACACAAUUCCUGGGAAAGAAAAAUCACUGAAAGGACUGCUUUUUUUAUUCUUUGGAAAUGCUUCAUCAAAAGUGCCUCCUUUUCAGUUUAGCUUUCACUGGCUGCUGGAAAGGAGGAGCUAAUGCACGAUGACAGGAAAACCGGAAAUAGAGUUCUUCCCUCGCCAGCUGUACUUGCUAACAUCUAAGGCCAGGAAAGCAUGUAUAUAAGCCCUUUGUACAGCCAGAUAGGGGGGAGGGAUGAAUGCCAGUCUUUAAAUGCAUUUCCAAACUUUGAAAAAACUACAGCUCUUGCUCAGAUAUAUAAAGAUCAUUUAAAAUGUAGGACUGCUUGAUUUUUAAUGAAAUGUUUAAAAGGAUUCCCACGUCAGUUCAAAUUACCAGACAUGUACAUACAUACACGCCAGCAAGGAAAUGGGAUCCGUACAAAAUGCUUCUCUAUUCUCACCACUUCUCCUAUUUAAUUAAAUUCAAGCCCAUUUGCAUUUCUCGCAUUUGCAUGAACUUUGUACUUCAAAGGCUGAUUUUCUGAUUAGUGCAGCCUAGCUCCCAUUAGUUGUAUAAACAACUAGGAACCGAAAUCAGAGCAAUCUGUCUUGACUUAAUUUUUAGUCUCUGCAUAGGGAGUUCUUCACAAUCUCUUCCCUUGUGGUUUGUUUCCUUUGGUUUGGUGUAAUUAAUCUUUGAUGAUUUGCCCAUCUAGUAUGGUCUUUACUGAAGAAAAGGGCAGGGUUCCUUUUCCCUUCCAGUAGGAGCAAGUAUUCUGAACUGGUAAGAAAAUCAGGGUAAGAAAUUUAGAGUAAGUGGAUUGAAAUUAAUUCAAUAAACAUAAAGUUUUCUGAGCCAUCGUUGAUCUGCUCCAGAUAAUUUUAUCCACAAAAUUACAUGAGAGAGACUUUGUUGGUCUUUAUCUCAAAUUAAUUUUGCUCAUCUACAGCACAUCCCAAUGUAAUCUGAGCCAAUUACAACUUCUUCCAGC